RNAcentral lists this long non-coding RNA (1893 nucleotides) under Solanum tuberosum (potato). RNAcentral describes it as "long non-coding RNA (STUB_LNC009916)". The record is from RNAcentral. Lineage: Eukaryota; Viridiplantae; Streptophyta; Magnoliopsida; Solanales; Solanaceae.
UUUAAUUAAAUAAUAAUAAAUGAAGUGACCUUAAAUGCUACUUGUAACCCCCACAUAAAUUGCAUGAGAUACGGUCGGGACCCACAUUUGUGGACCUCGAGGGAUGCUUAACACCUUCCCCUUGAGGUAAUUUGAACCCUUACCCGAUCUCUGGUUCGUUGACCUUAGUUAGAUUUAGCUAGGUUAGAUAGGUGCCUUAACGCGCCUUAACUCGUUAGGUGGCGACUCUUCAAUCCAACCGAAAAGCCCAAAAGAGUUGUUAGGUCGCACAAAAACCCGUUUUGAGAAAAAUGGGGCGCGACAGAAUGGCGACUCUGCUGGCCCAUCUGGUUAGUAAUUUGUUUAAAUGAAUUAGAUAUCAUGCUUAUAGAUUUGAUUUUCAGCGUAUUGGCACUUAGAAAUCACGCCUAUAAGACAUAAUUAAGUUGAGAUGUCAGUCAACAUAUUAAUAAAUAAAAAGAGUAAAAUUAUGUUUUAAAAUUAUAAUAUGCUUCCUAGAUUGAAUCUGGCUCAAAUCAAUUAAGUUCUGCUCUGUUUUGCUACUGAAAAACACUAAUAAGUCAUUCUAAUAUAUAUAUAUAUAUAUAUUUCUUGUAUUUUGUGAUCUAUUUGCUAAUCACCUAAAAUUAACUAAUAAUUAUAUUCUGCGUGUCUUUAAAAUCUGCUACUAAACUUGCUGGACUAAUUAAAUGAUGCCCGAAAUUAAUUAUUUUCUGCAUUUUAACUGCCACUUAAAUUAAAUUCUGCACUAAUAAAUACCUUUUGCUACUGUUCUAAAAAAAUAAUUUUCUGCAUCUGCUACUUGCUGCCCCGAUUAAAUCCUGUUCGAAUUAAUUUCUGCACUGUUUUUCCACUUGAAAUAAGCUAAAGCAGUUUAUGCAUAUUAAUUAAAGCCAUUCUGCCACUGGUUCAUCUCUAGAUUUAAAUUUGCUCUAUUUUUGAGAUUGUUAGUUGAAUUAAUUAGCCAUUGUUUUCCUCAUAAUAUCUAGGCUCGAUUGAAAUUAACUGUUAAUACUUGUUCAUUGAUUAUAUGCCCACACAUCUACGCAUGAGACCUUUUUCACGUUACUUGUGUUUGCCAGCAUGCUUAAAUAAAAAAAAACUAGAGGCCAAUUUGAGACUUAUGUGCUAAAUGUUAGACAAAUUGUUUGACUUAGUGUGUAGGUGGGCCUAUUAGAAUUUUAUUUUAGUCUAAAUCCACCAUAAUAGUAGUCCAAUGCUUCUUGGAUCUAAAGCGGGGACGAUAGGCACCUUGUAGAGACGAAAAGCAUGCGGUGGUGGGGUAGGGGUAGUUUAGGCCCUACGGAGAUGAUGACAUUGACUCAGUCUUAAUGACAAACCUUGAUUUUGUCUGUCCCUACGAGAAGCCGAUUGAAAUAAAGAAAGUCGAGUGCUGAUCCGUAAAGUCCUUCAGAGUCUCCCUUUCAUUUUGUCCCUUUAUUUGUUUAUAAUUAUAUUUACUUGGGGUAGUUUAAUAAAAUAAAAAAUGAUAUUUGCUUAUAUACUUGUCUACUUUCUAUCUUCUCGCUAUCUCUUUUAAAUUUUAUUUGGGUUAAUCAUUUAGUAUUAUUAUAUCACCUAGUCUUGCAUGCUUAAUCAAUAAAAUAAAUACUUGAAGUAUCGUUAAUUGUUCAAUGUUAGUUAUCACCUAGCAAGCAUGUUUAAUAAAUAAUCAAUAAAUGAAGUGACCUUAAAUGCUACUUGUAACCCCCACAUAAAUUGCAUGAGAUACGGUCGGGACCCACAUUUGUGGACCUCGAGGGAUGCCUAACACCUUCCCCUCGAUGUAAUUUGAACCCUUACCCGAUCUUUGGUUCGUUGACCUUUCGUUAAAAUUAGUUAGGUUAGAUAGGUGCCCUAACGCGCCUUAAUUCGUUAGGUGGCGACUCUUCA